CCUACGGGAGGCAGCAGUGAGGAAUAUUGGUCAAUGGACGAGAGUCUGAACCAGCCAAGUAGCGUGAAGGAUGACUGCCCUAUGGGUUGUAAACUUCUUUUAUAAAGGAAUAAAACGAGGCACGUGUGCCUUUUUGCAUGUACCUUAUGAAUAAGGAUCGGCUAACUCCGUGCCAGCAGCCGCGGUAAUUCGGAGGAUCCGAGCGUUAUCCGGAUUUAUUUGGUUUAAAGGGAGCGUAGAUGGGUUGUUAAGUCAGUUGUGAAAGUUUGCGGCUCAACCGUAAAAUUGCAAUUGAUACUGGCAGUCUUGAGUACAGUUGAGGUAGGCGGAAUUCGUGGUGUAGCGGUGAAAUGCUUAGAUAUCACGAAGAACCCCGAUUGCGAAGGCAGCUUACUAAACUGUGACUGACAUUGAUGCUCGAAAGUGUGGGUAUCAAACAGGAUUAGAUACCCGGGUAGUC
This 460-nucleotide ribosomal RNA is filed under the name uncultured bacterium. RNAcentral's name for it is "partial 16S ribosomal RNA". It matches the Rfam family "Bacterial small subunit ribosomal RNA", at positions 338 to 795 of the family's 1533-position model. The record is from RNAcentral.